Molecule: long non-coding RNA, 608 nt
Organism: Bombyx mori (domestic silkworm)
Lineage: Eukaryota; Metazoa; Arthropoda; Insecta; Lepidoptera; Bombycidae
Exons: 2
Source: RefSeq, a predicted model, not a curated record
UUCACGUCAAAUCUGUCAAAGUAAACGUCAAAAGAUGUUUAUACAAGUAACUUAUAAGGACACACCGGAGCUAUCCAAUUUCCUACAGAGAUCUUCUGAGCCGGAUCUCUCUAUUGAGAAGAUAUUGUUAGUUAACCCGAAAUGCCACGUCAGAGUACUGCUGGAGUAUUUAAGGAAGAAAUGCCGGCUGGCGACAUCCACUGUCUUCGAUUUGUGCGACGAAUCCGGUGUGGUCAAGGGACUGUUUAGUUUACCUACAUAUGCCUACCCUACAGAAUUGUUUGAGCAUAAGAAAAUAUACUAUCUAGUUGUGAUAAGACAGGAAAGCGACAAGCGGAUAUCCGUUCUGCCACAGCUGAAUCGAAAUAAUCUGACGUAUAUGGAACUAAAGGCAAAAGUGACGAGAUAUCUGUUGACCGGCGAGACAAGUCCGCAGGGUACCGGGUCCUCGGGAAAGGCCACUCCACCUUCGCAAACUAAGGGCACAGGGAAGAAGAAAUAAAUCCAUGAUAGGAAACUUAUCAAGCAACUCUAUCCUUCAAACCAUUGCUGUCUUACAAUUUUGUUUGUCCGAGUUUUGAAUUAAAAUAAAAACUAAAUUAUUACAA